Lolium perenne is the source of this 475-nucleotide non-coding RNA. The record is from RefSeq and is a predicted model, not a curated record. NCBI's taxonomy places the organism in Eukaryota, Viridiplantae, Streptophyta, Magnoliopsida, Poales, Poaceae.
CGGCGCCCUCCUCCCCCACAGAUUUAGUUGCCUUCCUGUUAUUGCAUUGGUACAGCCCGCCUGAUGUCCUCUUCUUGCUCUGUUUUCAGUGAUCUCCGCGGUGUCCGGGCUCGAGCUCUCGCUGGACAAUAAGCAGCAUGAAUUGUUGUUUGGCCGGAAUCGGAGACGAACAUGGCGGAGGCGAGCAGCAAGAAGAAGCAGCCCCCAGGUGCUCCUGGGCUUGACAGUUCAAGAUCAAGGACAUUUCACAGGUGGCGUCAGUAGACGGCGUUCACUCCGAUUACCGGCCGCUGCAAUAUAUGCCUGCGUUGGGCGUGGUCGGUGGCUGGUAUGCAAUACUAGCCAUGACCGUCUCGGUUGUUCCAUGUGACAGUAUUCUUGGUCUAUAUUCUUGUAUUCAGGAUUAUUGUAUAUAUUCUUGUGUAUAUUCAAACAAUUGAAAAUGCGUCUAAUGGGUACACCUAGUUUUUGUGUA